Piliocolobus tephrosceles (Ugandan red Colobus) is the source of this 1551-nucleotide long non-coding RNA. The record is from Ensembl. Lineage: Eukaryota; Metazoa; Chordata; Mammalia; Primates; Cercopithecidae.
GUUAAUGAGACUUGAAAACAUCGUUCAUCAUGAAAAAAUUAUAGUAUAAAUUUGGAUUUUUCUAUCUUCUAUUCUUAUAUAAUGAAUAAUUUUUUUUUUUUUUUUUUUUUAACUAGAAAAAGUAUGUACUAAAAAGGGUGAUUAUUUUUUUUGAUUUUUUUUUUUAUUUAGGGUAAUUAAUUUUUAUUUUAGCUCAUUUGUUAUUUUAUAUAAGUCUAUUAUAUCUUUUUAUACUACCAUAGGAUAGCUUUUUAUAUAUUAAUCUAUAUUUUUUUUCUCUUGUUUUUUUUUUUUUUUUUUUUUUUAUUUUCUAAUCCGUUUUUUUCUUUUUUUUAGCAUUUAAUUUUUUUUUCUUAUUUUUAGUAUUAAAUUUUUUUUAUUUAUUUUAGCUUUCCUUUUUUUUUAUUUAUUAGUUAACUAAAAAAAAUAAAAACAAUGGAAGUUUUAUUUUAUAUUUAAUGGGAAAAACUAAUUUGACUUUAUAUUGCAAUGUUUUUAUUAUGUAAUUAAAAUUAAGUAUAGCUUUAUUUAUAUUAAUAAAUAGAUAGUUGAUUACAUUAAGAACUAUAGUUAACGUUGUAAUAUGUAAUUUUUUUUUUAGGAAAGUAAAUUUUUUUUUUAGUUUUGCUUAAAUUUAUUUUUAUAUUAAUUCAAUCAUUUUGAUUACUUUAAUGUUACCUCUUUAUUUUGCUCCGUUUUUCUGUUAUUUCUAGCAUUGUAGUAUAAUCACUUAACAUUAUACAAGCUGCUUGAAUUAUAAUAUGUUAUAUGCAUUUUUUUUAAUUAACCUGACGUAAAAAUGAUGAGCACAAAUAUUGAAAAUGUUUUUAAAAUAAAUAAUACCAAAUAUAUUAAAAAUAAAUAUAAAAAAAAAGCAAAUAUAUGUAGUAAAGGAUAUUUAUUUAAAAAUCACAUAUAUACAAAUUUAAACAAAAAUUUUAAUUUAAAAAAAAUAAAUUUAUUUCGAUUUUUUAUAAAAAAUAGUAUUUUCAUUUAUUUAUUUUUAUUCAUAUUUCAGUUUAAUUUGUUUAAUAACAAUUUUUACAAAACAGAACAAAAAUCUUUUGACAUACAAAAAAUGGAUAAAUAUUUUUCAAAAAAUAAUAGAACGCUAAUGGAAAACCUUACAGAGUUAACUAAAACAUACGAAAACAUGGAAAAAUGCUUGUGCAUAAAGUUGAAAAUAUAUAUGAGACAAACAGUAAAAAUGCUCUCACCCAAAUAACAAGAUUUGUGCAAAAAAUUGAUUUACUUCUUGAAAAGGAAAUAUUAAGAACGCUUAAAUAUGUAGAUACUGAAAUUCAUCAACCAAUUAAAAGUGGUAAACAGUUUUUAGAUAGCGUAAAAAAAUUUUUGAAUGGAUUAAAAAUAUUUUCUACACCUUUAUGUGCAACAGUUACUACACUAAUGAUAUAUUACUUUAAAUCACAUGUACUUAGUACAGUGGCAAUGAUCGGAAUAGCCUUAAUGCCUUUAUUAACUACAUGGUAUGUAUUUUAUAAGAUACACAAAGUACGUAGUGAGUUGAAUAAAAAAAAACGUGGAAAACCA